Molecule: RNA transcript, 4469 nt
Organism: Osmerus eperlanus (European smelt)
Lineage: Eukaryota; Metazoa; Chordata; Actinopteri; Osmeriformes; Osmeridae
Gene: zmat1
Gene name: zinc finger matrin-type 1
Exons: 8
Source: RefSeq, a predicted model, not a curated record
AUGUUCGUAGGCUACUCUAACAAAGAUGGAGGAGCGAAGUAUCUGUCCUCUGCCGAUGGCAAAGGCAGAUACUGAAAAUUACAUUAAUAGUAUUCCUAAAAUAUCUUCAGUUUCAGAUGCUGACACAGUAAUAAACACUUAUAAUAUCAAUAGUUCCCAGCUCAAAGGAGACCUUGGGGAAGACCAGACACUGAAGGGACUGCUGACUGACGAUCACUGCCAUGUGUGUGAUGCCGUACUGCUGUUUGAGUCUCAGAGGGUCUCGCACUACGAGGGAAAGAAGCACGCUCAGAAGCUGAGACUUUACCUGCAAGUAAAGAAAGAUGAGAAGCGGAAUAAAGACUCCAGCGGUUCUCAGAGGUGCAUUACGAUGGACAAGAAGCGCUUCUGUGAGCUGUGCAACAUGGUCUUCAGCUCGCCUGUGGUAGCACGCUCACACUACAGAGGGAAGGUCCAUGCCAAGAACCUGCGCAAACAGGGCCUUAACCCCACCGCCAAUCCAUCAGGCGCCUCAAAUCAGAAUGUAGCCCAGACCAGCCUACCCCUUCCCACUCAAGCUCCUAGCACGGUGGGCCCCCAAAUGUCUGAGGAGGGGAACGAGGACUCAGACCCGGACCCCUACGCCCCUGCAGAUGUGGACCUCAGUGACCCCAACAAACACUGUCGCCUAUGCGCCGCCUCCUUCAACAACCCCCACAUGGCAUUGCAGCACUACAAUGGGCGCAAGCACCAGAGGAACCACUCUCGCCAGCAGUUGCUCCAAGACCUGGGAAAUGACCGCGUGCAGGAAAACUGCUUGACAUGUCUGAUAUGCAGCAUCAAGCUCAACUCUGUGGAAAUGUACCAGGCUCACAUGCAAGGAAAUAAGCAUCAGAUCAGAGAGAAGAAGGUUCUCGACCUGUGCAAGUCUCAAAAGAAGGCGUACAGCUCGUUUACCGAUGAGUUAGCUGACUAUGUCCAGGUCCAAAAGGCUCGUGGGCUCGCUCCCAAGACCAAUGUGGGCUCCACCAGGGGAAAGGGACAAACCAAAGGAGAGGAGCAGGAGGAGGAGGAAGACGGGGGAGGAAGAGGGAACAGCACCCAGAGCGAAAGCCCAGAACCCAGUGCCAAAACCCCAUACCUUCCUCUCUCUUUACAUCCUCUAUGUCCCCCACACCCCACUGCUUUUUAUCCCCCCACAGGCUGGCGUCCGCAUUAUCAGGUUGCGCCUACUGACCGGAACAGCCACGGUUGGGGCCCCACCUUCCCUCACCUCCCCCCUCAGCCCCUGGUCCCAGGCUUGACUUCGUCGAGAUUGCAUGGCCAUCCAUCAGCCCGGAAGAGGGCCAGGGAGCAUUCGAGCUCCUCCUCUUCUUACACGAGCUCGUCCCCCUCUUCGUAUACCAGUAGCAGUAGUGACAGCAGCACCAGCUACAGCGACAGUAGCGAGCACGGGGAAAGAAGGAGGGGGAGGGGGAAGAGCAGGAAGGAGAGAAGAUGGAGGGUGAGAGACGAGGAGGAGGAGAGGAGGAGGAGAAAGCGGGGGAUGCAGAUAAGAGACGACUCCGAAGGAAGGAAAGGGAGAGGGAAUGAAGCGGAGGAGGAGAGGGGAAGGAAGAGUAGAAAAAGACAGAGCAAGAGUUCCAGACAUGGAGAGGGACAGUCAGUAAAAAGAAGACGUGAGGACAGCGGAGAGGGAUAUGGGGGAUGGAAUGUCAAAAAGCAAGAGAUUGUGGAAGAGAAUGUCGGAUCUGCAGAACAGACCUUGGUCCACAUGCAGUCAGAGACGAAGGAGAGUUCGGAAGAGAGGGAACAGAAUAAACCCAAGCAUAGGAAAGACAAAAGGAAAAUGAAGGAGAAAGUGGACACCAGGACAGAGGAGGAAAAGCUAUGGGACGAGUCUAUCCUAGGCUUGUAAAGCAAAGCAGCUUUACUGUUCCCUUCACAUUAAGACUUGUGUAACAUUGUUUUGACAUGAGGACGUUGUUAGUGAGCGACCAGACUAGCUGCAGUAUAUAUAGAGACAUACUGUACACUCUCAACACAAAGCCUGAUCAGUGUAUGCUAGAAGGCCAGCCACAUGCUUUGUCAAAAUGUUAAAGAAAUUGAUGUUAUGAAACACGCAUGGUUCACCUUUGUCUAUGAUGGCUGAGAACUUUUGACUUCAGUAAGGUCAUGUUUGUUUAGUUUUCAGUUAAUAUUAAGCCAAUGUGAGAUUUUUUGUCCCAAAAACAGCCUCUGUAUUGUACCUUUACAUUAUAACUGUGUAUUCUGAUGAAUGGAUACUGUUUUGACAGACCUCACAAAAUACAAAUACCAUCACAAUACAAAUCUUUUUGUGAGAGAGAGAUUCAAUAAGCGGUAUUCACACAUGCAUAGAUUCAAUGUUCUGUUGGCCUGAUUUCCACAAUGUAGUACAUUAUUUUCCAUACAUUUUAUUUGACCUGUUUUGAUCAGGUACACAACAGCAGCCUCGGAAACAAAGGGCCCUUAUUUAUUUCGUUUUCAGCUAACAAGACCUGGGUCUUACUUUCAAAUACUUAUUCUACUUUCAGUGUACCCGUUACAAUGAAACCAGUCCAAUUCUGUAAAUGUACACUGCAGACAAUACAAGGCCUUUAAGUACUCUAUUGUAUGAGUGAUAGAGACGGGUAGAGACAUUGAUAAUACUUUCUAACAAUCUGUCACCAGGAAGCAAUAUUUACCUGAGAAAUAAUACGUGUGUACAGAUAUGUCGUGUCGUGCCAUAUGUCGUUGAUAUAUGGUUUGCUAUCUUGCUAUCCAACCCUUGCACACUUAUUAUUCAACAGUUCAAUGGACCGGGGAGUGAAAGAGGUGGUUUACCUAAAAUAGUAAACUGAUAAUAAUAUUAUAUCCCAUUUCCCUGAUAACAAUAUCCAUGGCGACCACUAGAUAGUGCUGUUGAGCCAUAGUAAACCUUUCUGUUUCUGAAAUUAUUUUGUGCUCUAGAAUGUAAUACUGUGGCUCAUUUGUCAUCCAAACUCCCACACACGCAAUAUCUACAACUAACAGACAAGAUACAAAAGCAGACAAGACACUACAUUUAGAAUGGCCAAAUAAGAUGAGUUGUAGGAACCUUGAAAUGUUAACUUUUACAAACUGUAGACAUAAAAAAACCUGCUACUUUACAAUGAGAAUGUCAUUGUAAAGUAGCAGGUUUUUAUGAUAAUCUUAAGACUGCCCCAAAACAUUUUAUUUAAUAAUCUUUAGUGAAUGGCUAAAUAAAAAUGAACUGUGCAUGUUUUUGUGUGAAUACUACCACAUGUCUACAUGUCUGUUGAAUUUCCACAGCAAAUAAUGACAGUAUUUUUUGACACCCACAUCGUACAAUUUAGAACAUUCACAAAGCAGUUUGUUAGGAAAGUGCCAUCCAAACAAAUUCAGAUCCCGACAUUUGUCACGAGGGUUAAUGUAGUAGUUUCAAAAUGUGCAUGUUUUACCUUGCGUUGUUUAAAGUACUAUAGCAUGUGACAUUUUUGUUUAACAGAAACUUCUAAAGACCUUUGUGUCUUUAUGUCUGCACUACACACAACAAAAAACAUUUCUACACAUGGCUUUGGAACUUGAGUCGUAGACACCAACAAAGGCUUUGACUUUCACAGAGGUGUGUAGGGUGAGAGAGAGAUACUAUGAAGCCCCCCUGAGAUCUCCUGUUUUCAAAGAAUCCUGUGGUCACGUUCCUUUGUCUCUUUCGAAUCCCAGACCCUCGUAGAGCCAGGCGGUGCCCACAUCCUCCCCUUUACGACCCCCACCUAGACCUUAAUGUGCCCCCGCACCCACCCCCCAUGCCUCCUAAAUUCCUCAGCCUCACCCACACGACACACUGCCAAACUAUAUAGCAGUAUUUUAUUUCAUUAAAAUAUCAGAGUCUUCUGUGUGCCAUGAAAAAAUGAAUUGUGAAUCAAAGGGUUAUCCGUUCAUGAUUACUGUUAAUUACCUGUAUGGAUUCUCAGAAGCAAGAAAGUGUAUUGUCCCCAACAUAAUAUACUUUUUCUUUCAUUCUUCAAUGUGAUCUUCCAAGCAAUGUUUUCUGGAAGGUACGCUUUUGACCCUUUUUGAGACCUUUGUAACUCGCUCCAACAGUUUAAGAGUGUUCUAUCAUAUGUGCCACUUUGGUUCAUUUACAUAUGUACAUCUAUUUGACAGUGAUCUACCUUCCUUAUAGUGUUAACUUUGUGUUGACAACAAAUGUGGAGACGCUUUCUUUUGAUUCCAUAGUUACAUCCAAGGUUGCAGUAUCAAAAGCUUCUCAAUGCGCUAGUUUUUCAUUAGUCAAUUUAAUCUGUGCAUGGUAUUAUGUGACUUACAAAUGGAAAAAGGUACAUUUAUUCACAUUUUAUUCAAAGUAGUAACAUUUACGACACACUGAUAGUGGUCAGUUUCCCGCUUUUUCUUUCAGAAAAAGAAAAAAGGACUCUGGCGGGUUGUGUGUCUUAUUUUGCUGGUUUUAAGGCUCUCUCCCCCGGUAU